UAAAUAAAAAUAGUGUGGGAAACUAUUUUAUUGGACUCAUAGAAGUAAAGUAUAAGUUGGAAAUGACCUGUGCUGAAAUCGGAGCGAAAACAGAAGAUUUAGAAUUUUCUGUGAGAAACGGGGCAGAUAAAUUAGCAGAAAAUGCACAGUGUCAGAAAAUUAUGAAAACUGGAGGAUAGGUCAGAAUUAUUUUUAUGAGGCUAGAUUUGAAGUUUCAGCCCAUUCUGACACCCGGAAGGUGGAGAAUAAAAUCGAACUGCUAUCUGCUAAAGAUUACAGUUCGGCACAGCUUUCGAUGACCAAACGGGGUCGAAACUGAAAACUUAAGAUAUAUUCUUGCUCAGUACGUUAAACCGAGCCUGCCUGUCGAAUUUGAGCGCAAACGGACAUUCAGAAGGGCUCCGACUGUUCCGAACUGCGAAACUGCAAGUUGUAAUAGGUGUGAGAGGGGGUUUUGUGCAAUUGUUACAGCACCAAAGGUGGGCUGGUUGCAUACGUACACACACACACACACACACCUUCCUCCUUCAUGUUCUCUCAUUCCCUCCCACUCUCAUACUCUUUUCCCUCUCUCUCUCUAGAAAGAAAGAAAGAAAGAAGAAGGAAAGGAGAAGGAAAAGAAAGGAAAAAGAAAGAAAGAAGAAAGGAGAAGAAGACCAAGAAGAGGAAGAUCAUCUUCUUCCUCCUCUCCCUCAACCUUGGAGAAGCUUUUAGAGGUAAGCUCCAAACCCUAUAAUGGUAGAUUCCUUAAGAUAGGGUUUUAUGGUUUAGAAUUGGUUUGAAUGGAACCUAUUGGAGCUAGUUAGAUGGUUCUAGCUCGAAUUUGAAGCUUGAGCCAUGGAUUUCCUCAUUGUUGAAACCUAGGGCACUUCAAAACCCUAUAAUGGUAGAAUUUUAGGGCUUCAUUUAUAUGCUAUAAAAAUGGAUUUAUUGGAAUCCAAUGAUGCUAAAUAGAUGAUUGUUGCCUAAAUCAUGGAUCAAUUUUGUGAAUUUUUGCAAAAGUUGAAACCUAGGGUUCAAAAUGCAAUUUUUGGAAAUAUGGGGGUUUGAUCUCAAUUAACCCUCUGUAAACCUAAUUGCUAGAUCUAUAAACGCGUUGGCGAAGACGGUUCGUCAAUCCGACGAACGAGUGUGGAGUUAUCGCCAAAACAAGUGCUUGAGGGUUUGGUUGCCCCGAGUUGAAGCGACGAAAAAGAUCGCGGAAGAACACGUUUCCGAGCUUGUGGCACUACCAAAGGUGGGUGGUGACCAUCCCGAAGCAGCCGGGAUACUUUCUAUGUUUAGGUUCUUAUAUAAUGAUCAAAUUGCAUCUUGCACAUAUUGCAUAUAGGGCUAAAUGAUUGAUGUUAUUGCUUAUACUUGCAUGCUAGUUGUAAUAUGAUAGGUCAUGAAUCUAGUAUGCAUGAGAAUGAUAUGAUAGUUAACCCUAUAUGCGAUGAUUGAUGUUUAAGUAAAUAAAGAACCUAGUAUGAUAAAAACUAGUGUUGAUAACGAGUCAAAUUGACGAGUGGCAUCUAGUUGUAGACAACUAUGACGAGUGGCAUUUGCUUAUUGAUAACCUAUGAUAUGAGAACCUUAGUGUAAUCAGAAAUACUAUGAGAUUGAGUACAAAACCACCUUGAUUCCAUGAUGAGAUUACCCUUAGAGAGUAGGAUACUGUUGUUCGUGAGAUUUGAUUAUGCUCACAUUGCCUGUCUGCGCUUGUUGGGGUCGCUCCCCUCAAGCUGUGCACUCCGGAGUUUUGUCACUAGAGGGGCAGCCGCUUGCUGCCCGGAUAGCCGCUAGCUGUCCGCAGGCGGUCUCGGGGGAUAGUUCAGUGAGACUUUUUCCUAUGAGACUUACACGUGAGAUGUUGUAGUGAACCCCGAGUUCACAAGAGAUUUGGUUACCUAUUGAGUCAUACUCAUUAUUGUUGUUCAUGAUAGCUAGUUUACAUCGCUUAUUGUUGUUCAUAGUAGCUUUACUUAUUGUUCAUGCAUGCAUGUUAUCAGAUUGAGGCAUAGCUAGAUGUACCUACUCUACUUACCUGCUUUCGUUCCCGCAUAGCUUUAUAUAUAUUGUAUACAUAUCUCUCUAUGCCUGCUUAGACCUAGUGGGUAGAUCGGUGGAGUCGGCGGCCGAACCCACUGGGAACUAAGGAAGUUAGUUCUCACACCCCACAUUACAGGUACUAGUUCGAGUGUCCCGACCGAGCGGGAGGAUCGCGGCAAGGGCAUAGCGCCCUAGCGGUAUCAGUUGAUAGUUUUACCUUUCCUACUUGCAUUAGCCCUAUACCCUGUACUUUUGUUUAUAUCUUGAGAGUAGAUCUUGUAUAGGGUGAGGUUUGAGAGCAUAUGAUGUAUUUAUAUUUUGGAGAAAAAGAAUGCAAGUUGUAUUAAAUGGGUAAAGUUUAAUGAUGUUAAAAGAGGUUAAUGUAUCAAAGUUCUAUGUUUAAAUAGUUAAGUUUAUCUCUCUUUUGUAUACUUGUAUGGAAUUCACUCGUAUCGCUUGCUCUUUGGUUGUUUAGCACUGUUUGUGCUUCUUCGUUGUUGUUGUAUAGAUCGUGUAUGAUUACAAGUGAUUCCUGGGUACUUGUGUACAUGAUCUCAUUGUUGAGCCUAGGGCGGACAGGGGAGACUCUGUCCGUUCGGCCUCACGCCCGCCGCGCCCGAACCGCGCCAAAUUAGUAGCGGUCUCGGGGCGGGGCGUGCAAGGGACGAUUUGAGGUGGGUUAUCCGCGGGGAAAGUUGAGUCCAGUUACUUCAUUAUUGCUUUUUCAUAGUAGCUUAUAUUGGCUCAGCAUUUAAACUUAUUGUUUUCAUGCAAUGCCAUGUUUUAUCGGAUUAUGUGAGGCGCAUAAGCUAUGAUUGUACCUACUUAAAAAAAAAAACUUAACCGCUUGUGUGGCUGUUUUCAGUCAGGGUUCCCCGAUGUAGGCCCUUAUAAUUAAUAAUCUUGUAAUAAAAAAUCCUUUUUUUUCUUCUAAUUUGCCGCUAUUUUGGGGCUUGACCUAGUGUAGAUCGUGAGUCGGCGGGAGUCGUUGCUAGUACAAAAGGAAGCGAACCACUCGCGAACUAAAGCGAAGUUUAGUUCUCAGACAAUCGCCUAAUUACAAGGUAGGUUCGAGUCAUUCCCCACGCGAGCGGUACGAGGAUCGCCGGCACGCGGCAUAGCGCGUUCUAGCCGGUACUCUAUCUGAUCGGUUGGAUAGUCUGGCUUCCUAUAUUGCAAGUAUUUCCCUACUUGUUACAUUUUGAGAGGGAUUGGUGGUUAGAUUAGAAGGUGAGGUGUAGGAGCCAUCUUUUGAGGUAUUAUAUUUUGGAGAGAAAACAGAAUGCAAGUUGUUUACGAUCUUAAAGUUUAAUGAAAUUGAAAGCUUAAACAAUUUCAAGUUAUGGUUUAAAUAGUUUUAGUUCUCUUUUUUGUAUACUGUAUGGUAUUCAGUCGUAUCGCUUAGCUCUUUGUGUUGGCUCUGAUAAUUUUUGUUGAGCGGCAGCGCUCAAAAACUGUUCUGUCGCUUUACUUCGUCUGGUUGUUGUACCUUAGAUCGUGUAUGGUUACAAAGUCAUUUCCGGUUUCGCCCUAUAAAACUGGAUAUUCAAAAAAGAAUUCAGUGUCUACUUGCUUGUUAACGAUGGAUCUCCGGCUGGUGAGGGUCAGGGGGAAUUUGCGGGUGUGCACAACGUUUUCCACGUCUCCAAUCUUCGCAAAUACAUGCAUGAUCCCGAGCAUGUUCUAGUAUAUGAGCCGCCGGAGCUUCAAGAAGAUAUGAGCUAUGAAGAGUUUCCGGUGAUGAUUUUGGCUCGAGAAGUGCGAAAGCUGCGGAAUCGCGAGAUCCCCUAUGUCAAGGUCCGGUGGAGCAAUCAUGACGAUCGCGAAGCCACCUGGGAGCUUGAGAAUCAAAUGAAGGCAAAUCACCCUCACCUAUUUGAGGAUUGAGCGAGGUAUGAUUUAAGAUUCGAAGUUUAAUUUUUUAUUAAAUUGAGUUCGUUUCGAGGACGAAACUCCUUUUAAGGAGAGGAGAAUGUAGGAUACCGAACUUCUGAAAAUAAGAAGUUACGGUAGGAUAUAGUAUAUCGGAAUUUAUUAUAAAAGUAAAUAUAAAUAAAAAUAGUGUGGAAAACUAUUUUUAUUGGCCUUAUGGAAGUAAAGUAAAAGUUGAAAGUGACCUGUGCUGAAAUCGGAGCGAAAACAGGAGAUUUAGAAUUUUCUGUGAGAAACGGGGCAGAUAGAUUAGCAGAAAAUGCACAGUGUCAGAAAAUUAUGAAAACUGGAGGAUGGGUCAGAAUUAUUUUUAUGAGGCUGGAAUUAAAGUUUCAGCCCAUUCUGACAUCCGGAAGGUGGAGAAUAAAAUCAAACUGCUAUCUGCUAAAGAUUACAGUUCGGCACGGCUUUCGGUGACCAAACGGGGUCGAAACUGAAAACUUAAGAUAUAUUCUUACUCAGUACGUUAAACCGAGCCUGCCUGUCGAAUUUGAGCGCAAACGGACAUUCAGAAGGGCUCCGACUGUUCCGAACUGCGAAACUGCGAGUUGUAAUAGGUGUGAGAGGGGGUUUUGUGCAAUUGUUACAACACCACAAGUGGGCUGGUUGCAUACGUAUACACACACAUGCACAUACCUUCUCCCUCAUGUGUUCUCUCAUCCUCUCCCACUCUUACACUCUUUUCCCUCUCUCUCUCUAGAAAGAAAGAAAGAAAGAAGAAGGAAAGGAGAAGGAAAAGAAAGGAAAAAGAGAAGGAAGAAGGAAGGAGAAGAAGACCAAGAAGAGGAAGAUCAUCUUCUUCCUCCUCUCCCUCAACCUUGGAGAAGCUUUUGGAGGUAAGCUCCAAAACCCUAUAGUGGUGGAUUCCUUAAGAUAGGGUUUUAUGGUUUGGAAUUGGUUUGAAUGGAACCUAUUGAAGCUAAUUAGAUGGUUCUAGCUCGAAUUUGAAGCUUGAACCAUGGAAUUUCUCAUUGUUGAAACCUAAGUCACUUCAAAACCCUUUAAUGGUAGCUUCUAGUUUAUGAGUUUUUAAGCUCUAGAAAUGGAAUUUAAUGGUGAUUUAGAGAUUAUUAACCUCAUUUAUUGCAAGAUUCAUAGCUUGAUGUUGCUUUUUUGCAACAAUGAGGAAUUAGAGCUCCAAAUGAGAGCUUUAAUAGUAGAUCUCUAGGGCUUUGGUCUUAUGCUCUAGAAAUGGAAUUAGUAGCCUUCCAAGAUGCUAAUUAGAUGGAUUAUGCUUGGAUCCAAAGGUUGGAUGGUGGGUUUUUCUCUAAUUGCGACAUAGGGUUCCAAAAUAGGGUUUUUGCAAAUAUAGGGUUUUGAUCUCAUUUGAGUGGUCAGAAACCUAAUUGUUAUAUCUCCGAACGCGU
RNAcentral lists this long non-coding RNA (5330 nucleotides) under Ananas comosus (pineapple). RNAcentral describes it as "long non-coding RNA (ACOM_LNC009983)". The record is from RNAcentral. Lineage: Eukaryota; Viridiplantae; Streptophyta; Magnoliopsida; Poales; Bromeliaceae.